UGAGGAAUAUUGGUCAAUGGACGCAAGUCUGAACCAGCCAAGUAGCGUGCAGGAUGACGGCCCUAUGGGUUGUAAACUGCUUUUAUAUGGGGAUAAAGUGGGGAACGUGUUCCCUUUUGCAGGUACCAUAUGAAUAAGGACCGGCUAAUUCCGUGCCAGCAGCCGCGGUAAUACGGAAGGUCCAGGCGUUAUCCGGAAUUAUUGGGUUUAAAGGGAGCGUAGGCUGUCUAUUAAGCGUGUUGUGAAAUUUACCGGCUCAACCGGUGGCUUGCAGCGCGAACUGGUCGACUUGAGUAUGCAGGAAGUAGGCGGAAUUCAUGGUGUAGCGGUGAAAUGCUUAGAUAUCAUGACGAACUCCGAUUGCGCAGGCAGCUUACUGUAGCAUAACUGACGCUGAGGCUCGAAAGUGCGGGUAUCAAACAGG
RNAcentral lists this ribosomal RNA (424 nucleotides) under Verrucomicrobiota bacterium. Its description in RNAcentral is "Verrucomicrobia bacterium partial 16S ribosomal RNA". It matches the Rfam family "Bacterial small subunit ribosomal RNA", at positions 355 to 776 of the family's 1533-position model. The record is from RNAcentral. Lineage: Bacteria; Pseudomonadati; Verrucomicrobiota.